This 197-nucleotide ribosomal RNA is filed under the name uncultured Archaeospora. Its description in RNAcentral is "partial 18S ribosomal RNA". It matches the Rfam family "Eukaryotic small subunit ribosomal RNA", at positions 569 to 766 of the family's 1831-position model. Lineage: Eukaryota; Fungi; Glomeromycota; Glomeromycetes; Archaeosporales; Archaeosporaceae. The record is from RNAcentral.
AGCAGCCGCGGUAAUUCCAGCUCCAAUAGCGUAUAUUAAAGUUGUUGCAGUUAAAAAGCUCGUAGUUGGAUUUUGGGAUUGGGUGGCACGGCCUGCCGUAAGGUAGUUUGCUGUGCGGUCCAACCUUACUUCCCGGAGGCUGCGUUGUGCCCUUAAUUGGGUGCAGGGUGGAGCCGGGGUUUUUACUGUGAGAAAAU